This 287-nucleotide ribosomal RNA is filed under the name uncultured bacterium. RNAcentral describes it as "partial 16S ribosomal RNA". It matches the Rfam family "Bacterial small subunit ribosomal RNA", at positions 59 to 339 of the family's 1533-position model. The record is from RNAcentral.
AAGUCGAGGGGCAGCAUGAUUUGUAGCAAUACAGAUUGAUGGCGACCGGCGCACGGGUGAGUAACACGUAAACAACCUGCCUUCAGGAUGGGGACAACAGACGGAAACGACUGCUAAUACCGGAUAGUAUAACGAGAAGGCAUCUUUUUGUUAUUAAAGAAUUUCGAUAACCGAUGGGGAUGCGUUCCAUUAGUUUGUUGGCGGGGUAACGGCCCACCAAGACAUCGAUGGAUAGGGGUUCUGAGAGGAAGGUCCCCACAUUGGAACUGAGACACGGUCCAAACUCC